This 467-nucleotide ribosomal RNA is filed under the name uncultured bacterium. RNAcentral describes it as "partial 16S ribosomal RNA". It matches the Rfam family "Bacterial small subunit ribosomal RNA", at positions 28 to 507 of the family's 1533-position model. The record is from RNAcentral.
GACGAACGCUGGCGGCGUGCUUAACACAUGCAAGUCGAACGAUGAUCAGGAGCUUGCUCCUGUGAUUAGUGGCGAACGGGUGAGUAACACGUGAGUAACCUGCCCCUGACUCUGGGAUAAGCGUUGGAAACGACGUCUAAUACUGGAUAUGAUCACUGGCCGCAGGGUCUGGUGGGGGAAAGAUUUUUUGGUGGGGGAUGGACUCGCGGCCUAUCAGCUUGUUGGUGAGGUAAUGGCUCACCAAGGCGACGACGGGUAGCCGGCCUGAGAGGGUGACCGGCCACACUGGGACUGAGACACGGCCCAGACUCCUACGGGAGGCAGCAGUGGGGAAUAUUGCACAAUGGGCGAAAGCCUGAUGCAGCAACGCCGCGUGAGGGAUGACGGCCUUCGGGUUGUAAACCUCUUUUAGUAGGGAAGCAGCGAAAGUGACGGUACCUGCAGAAAAAGCACCGGCUAACUACGUG